Molecule: ribosomal RNA, 442 nt
Filed under: uncultured bacterium
Lineage: Bacteria
Description: partial 16S ribosomal RNA
Rfam family: Bacterial small subunit ribosomal RNA
Source: RNAcentral
CCUACGGGCGGCAGCAGUGGGGGAUAUUGCACAAUGGGCGAAACCCUGAUGCAGCGACGCCGCGUGGGCGAAGACGUAUUUCGGUAUGUUAAGCCCUAUCAGCAGGGAAGAAGAACUGACGGUACCUGAGUAAGCAGCACCGGCUAAAUACGUGCCCGCAGCCGCGGUCAUACGUAUGGUGCAAGCGUUAUCCGGAUUUACUGGGUGUUAAGGGAGCGCAGGCGGCACGGCAAGCCUGAUGUGAAAGCCCGCGGCCCAACCGCGGGACUGCAGUGGGAACUAGCGGGCUGGAGUGCCGGAGAGGUAGGCGGAAUUCGUAGUGUAGCGGUGAAAUGCGUAGAUAUUAGGAGGAACACCAGUGGCGAAGGCGGCCUACUGGACGGUGACUGACGCUGAGGCUCGAAAGCGUGGGGAGCAAACAGGAUUAGAUACCCUUGUAGUC